CAGCAGCCGCGGGAAUACGGAGGGGGCUAGCGUUGUUCGGAAUUACUGGGCGUAAAGCGCACGUAGGCGGCUUGGUAAGUUAGAGGUGAAAGCCUGGAGCUCAACUCCAGAAUUGCCUUUAAGACUGCCGAGCUAGCAGGUGAGAGAGGUAAGUGGAAUUCCGAGUGUAGAGGUGGAAUUCGUAGAUAUUUGGAAGAACACCAGUGGCGAAGGCGGCUCACUGGCUCAUACUGGACGCUGAGGUGCGAGAGCGUGGGGAGCAAACAGGAUUAGAUACCCCUGUAGUCCCUGUCUCUUAUAC
Molecule: ribosomal RNA, 301 nt
Filed under: uncultured bacterium
Lineage: Bacteria
Description: partial 16S ribosomal RNA
Rfam family: Bacterial small subunit ribosomal RNA
Source: RNAcentral